Molecule: ribosomal RNA, 447 nt
Filed under: uncultured bacterium
Lineage: Bacteria
Description: bacterial SSU rRNA
Rfam family: Bacterial small subunit ribosomal RNA
Source: RNAcentral
UGGGGAAUAUUGGACAAUGGGCGAAAGCCUGAUCCAGCAAUGCCGCGUGAGUGAUGAAGGCCUUAGGGUUGUAAAGCUCUUUUACCAGGGAUGAUAAUGACAGUACCUGGAGAAUAAGCUCCGGCUAACUCCGUGCCAGCAGCCGCGGUAAUACGGAGGGAGCUAGCGUUGUUCGGAAUUACUGGGCGUAAAGAGUACGUAGGCGGUGAUUCAAGUCAGAGGUGAAAGCCUGGAGCUCAACUCCAGAACUGCCUUUGAAACUAGAUCGCUAGAAUCAUGGAGAGGUUAGUGGAAUUCCGAGUGUAGAGGUGAAAUUCGUAGAUAUUCGGAAGAACACCAGUGGCGAAGGCGACUAACUGGACAUGUAUUGACGCUGAGGUACGAAAGCGUGGGGAGCAAACAGGAUUAGAUACCCCCGUAGUCCCUGAGCGGGCUGGCAAGGCGCAU